RNAcentral lists this ribosomal RNA (409 nucleotides) under bacterium. RNAcentral's name for it is "partial 16S ribosomal RNA". It matches the Rfam family "Bacterial small subunit ribosomal RNA", at positions 355 to 776 of the family's 1533-position model. The record is from RNAcentral.
UGGGGAAUAUUGCACAAUGGGCGAAAGCCUGAUGCAGCGACGCCGCGUGAGGGAUGACGGCCUUCGGGUUGUAAACCUCUUUCAGUAGGGACGAAGCGCAAGUGACGGUACCUGCAGAAGAAGCACCGGCUAACUACGUGCCAGCAGCCGCGGUAAUACGUAGGGUGCGAGCGUUGUCCGGAAUUACUGGGCGUAAAGAGCUCGUAGGCGGUUUGUCACGUCGUCUGUGAAAUCCUAGGGCUUAACCCUGGACGUGCAGGCGUUACGGGCUGACUUGAGUACUACAGGGGGGACUGGAAUUUCUGGUGUUGCGGUGGAAUGCACAGAUAUCAGGAAGAACACCGAUGGCGAAGGCAGGUCUCUGGGUAGUAACUGACGCUGAGGAGCGAAAGCAUGGGUAGCGAACAGG